CAGGAAGAUGCCAGCCACGUCUCCGGGCUGUGUCCACAACCAAGCCAACAGCAUCGGCGUCACAGAGACUGUCCCCCAACACCGUGAGAGCGAUCCGACCCUUCUCCCAGGCAGCACCGCCGCCCUCACCUCCCUCCUCACCAUCGCUGUGGCACCCAGUUGUCUUCUCAGCUACCAGCCCCUCCUUCACGCUCCACGAACCCAAAGCUACGCAGGUAUCAGAUGCCCCAGAGCUGCAGCUACAGAAUCACAGAUGGUGCCCCUCACAGCCCAGAACCACGACCGGGACACUGCUAAGGGCUCAGCACUGCACUAG
RNAcentral lists this long non-coding RNA (316 nucleotides) under Fukomys damarensis (Damara mole-rat). Its description in RNAcentral is "lncRNA (ENSFDAG00000029736.1)". Lineage: Eukaryota; Metazoa; Chordata; Mammalia; Rodentia; Bathyergidae. The record is from RNAcentral.